UUGUAUUUUAAUUUGCCUAUAUUGAAGAAGACUUGUUUUGCCUCCUACAUCCAUGAAUGUUAGGAAUUAGAAAUUUCACCCUUUAUUAAUUUACCAGCACAGAGAAGCCAAUAAAAAUGUGUGGAUCACUUAUAAUCAAUAAAAAGAAUCUCAUUGCUUAUGUACUUUGUAUACAUAGUGAAACAAAAAAAGUACACAUUUAUUGAGAGUCAUUCUAUUCAUAUAUCCGUAGUUUAAUAAAGAAUGUCUGUGGCAAUGUAAUCAGCUUUUGGAAGCCUCUAUAUAU
RNAcentral lists this long non-coding RNA (286 nucleotides) under Lupinus angustifolius (narrow-leaved blue lupine). RNAcentral describes it as "long non-coding RNA (LANG_LNC003350)". Lineage: Eukaryota; Viridiplantae; Streptophyta; Magnoliopsida; Fabales; Fabaceae. The record is from RNAcentral.